UGGGAGCUUGCUCCCAGAGGUUAGCGGCGAACGGGUGAGUAACACGUGGGCAACCUGCCCUGUAGACUGGGAUAACAUCGAGAAAUCGGUGCUAAUACCGGAUAAUAAUAGGAACUGCAUAGUUCCCAUUUAAAAGAUGGCUCCGGCUAUCACUACAGGAUGGGCCCGCGACGCAUUAGCUAGUUGGUAAGGUAACGGCUUACCAAGGCGACGAUGCGUAGCCGACCUGAGAGGGUGAUCGGCCACACUGGGACUGAGACACGGCCCAGACUCCUACGGGAGGCAGCAGUAGGGAAUCUUCCGCAAUGGACGAAAGUCUGACGGAGCAACGCCGCGUGAGUGAUGAAGGGUUUCGGCUCGUAAAGCUCUGUUGUUAGGGAAGAACAAGUGCCGUUCAAAUAGGGCGGCACCUUGACGGUACCUAACCAGAAAGCCACGGCUAACUACGUGCCAGCAGCCGCGGUAAUACGUAGGUGGCAAGCGUUGUCCGGAAUUAUUGGGCGUAAAGCGCGCGCAGGCGGUCUUUUAAGUCUGAUGUGAAAUCUCGGGGCUCAACCCCGAGCGGUCAUUGGAAACUGGGAGACUUGAGUACAGAAGAGGAGAGUGGAAUUCCACGUGUAGCGGUGAAAUGCGUAGAUAUGUGGAGGAACACCAGUGGCGAAGGCGACUCUCUGGUCUGUAACUGACGCUGAGGCGCGAAAGCGUGGGGAGCAAACAGGAUUAGAUACCCUGGUAGUCCACGCCGUAAACGAUGAGUGCUAGGUGUUAGGGGUUUCGAUGCCCUUAGUGCCGAAGUUAACACAUUAAGCACUCCGCCUGGGGAGUACGACCGCAAGGUUGAAACUCAAAGGAAUUGACGGGGGCCCGCACAAGCAGUGGAGCAUGUGGUUUAAUUCGAAGCAACGCGAGAACCUUACCAGUCUUGACAUCCUUAUGACCUCCCUAGAGAUAGGGAUUU
RNAcentral lists this ribosomal RNA (958 nucleotides) under Bacillus sp. MI4. Its description in RNAcentral is "bacterial SSU rRNA". It matches the Rfam family "Bacterial small subunit ribosomal RNA", at positions 73 to 1015 of the family's 1533-position model. The record is from RNAcentral. Lineage: Bacteria; Bacillati; Bacillota; Bacilli; Caryophanales; Bacillaceae.